AACGAACGCUGGCGGCAGGCCUAAAACAUGCAAGUCGAACGAUCUAGCAAUAGAUAGUGGCGCACGGGUGAGUAACACGUGGGAAUAUCCCUUUCACUACGGAACAACGUCGGGAAACUGACGCUAAUACCGUAUAAUGUCUCCGGACCAAAGAUUUAUCGGUGAAAGAUUAGCCCGCGUCUGAUUAGCUAGUUGGUGAGGUAACGGCUCACCAAGGCAACGAUCAGUAGCUGGUCUGAGAGGAUGAUCAGCCACACUGGAACUGAGACACGGUCCAGACUCCUACGGGAGGCAGCAGUUAGGAAUAUUGGACAAUGGGGGCAACCCUGAUCCAGCCAUGCCGCGUGUGUGACGAAGGCCUUAGGGUUGUAAAGCACUUUCGUCUACGAAGAUAAUGACAGAGCCCCAGAGGAAGCACGGGCUAAGUUCGUGCCAGCCGCCGCCGUAA
RNAcentral lists this ribosomal RNA (448 nucleotides) under uncultured bacterium. RNAcentral describes it as "partial 16S ribosomal RNA". It matches the Rfam family "Bacterial small subunit ribosomal RNA", at positions 29 to 523 of the family's 1533-position model. The record is from RNAcentral.